GAUGAACGCUGGCGGCGUGCUUAACACAUGCAAGUCGAACGGAAAGGCCCUGCUUGCAGGGUACUCGAGUGGCGAACGGGUGAGUAACACGUGGGUGAUCUGCCCUGUACUUUGGGAUAAGCCUGGGAAACUGGGUCUAAUACCGAAUAUGACAAUGGUUUGGAUGCGAUUGUGGAAAGCUUUUGCGGUAUGGGAUGAGCUCGCGGCCUAUGAGCUUGUUGGUGGGGUAAUGGCCUACCAAGGCGUCGACGCGUAGCUGGCCUGAGAGGGUGAGCGGGCAUACGGGAAUGUAGAGACGGUUUAGAAUUGAAAUAGGGGCAGGACUCGGGAGUGUGGCAGCAGGGGCGAAUGUUGGACAAAGGGAGCAAGCGUGAUGGAGGGACGCCGCGGGGGGGUUGAGGGCCUUCGGGUUGUAAGAUCCUCAGGCAACCGACGAAGCCUUUUGGUGACGGUAGGUUGAGAAGAAGCACCGGCUAACUACGUG
This 484-nucleotide ribosomal RNA is filed under the name uncultured bacterium. RNAcentral describes it as "partial 16S ribosomal RNA". It matches the Rfam family "Bacterial small subunit ribosomal RNA", at positions 28 to 507 of the family's 1533-position model. The record is from RNAcentral.